RNAcentral lists this unclassified non-coding RNA (200 nucleotides) under Sebacina sp. Its description in RNAcentral is "partial internal transcribed spacer 2". The record is from RNAcentral. Lineage: Eukaryota; Fungi; Basidiomycota; Agaricomycetes; Sebacinales; Sebacinaceae.
UUAAGUUCAGCGGGUAGUCCUACCUGAUUUGAGGUCAAGUCGCCAGAAGAUUGUCCGAAGACAGUUUGAAGCAACAGAGCUCCCGAUCGGCCACCCUCUUUGCGAGGAGCCAGCGAAGACACUUAUCACGCCGUACUAUGUCCAAUCAAGAGGUGCAACUAACAUAUUUCAGGUGAGCCACAGUCAAGCAGCAACACCCA